This is a long non-coding RNA of Ananas comosus (pineapple), 627 nucleotides long. RefSeq lists it as uncharacterized. The record is from RefSeq and is a predicted model, not a curated record. Lineage: Eukaryota; Viridiplantae; Streptophyta; Magnoliopsida; Poales; Bromeliaceae. The transcript has 3 exons.
UGGCCCAUCGGGCCGGGCCUUGUUUAGGCCCGGGCCCAGUUCCACCCCUAAGCAGCACGCUUAGCAACGUCGAUUUGGCCUCAAGGAAGGCCAACGAAGCAGGAUCGAGAGGACAGAGAGGAGAGGAUGUUUGCACUCUCUCUCUGUUCUCCUUGUACUCAACCGAUCGUGGAAGAGCUCGAGUGGAGUAUUCCGUCGCUGACGUCGUGCCGCAGAGCCGUUCGAGCGCGCGUUUAUUGCCGUAGCAUCGCGAGGAGGCCGGGCGAGGGUGCGUUUUUACCGUUCUCGACGUCGCGCCGGUGCUAGAGUCGCUGUUGAGAUUUCCUGCGUCGACCGUUGGCGUUUCGGCUCGUGUGCGACGUAGGAGCGUCGGAUUGCAGCGAGACUUGGUUCGUUGGAUUCAAGACUUCGAGAGGAAUCCACGAAGCCCAAGAUUGCAGAAUUUGGUGAAGGUUAGCUUGGUCGAACCCUUAGUUUACCCUGCCGUUGUUAUACGUGGACAGAAUUGAUGGAUUUUGAUUAUAGAGCUUGGAGUUAGCUCGAUUUCUGGACUUGGAGGACUUCGGUCGAUCCAGCAGGUUGUUCUGCAGCUGAGGGAGUUCUUUGCUGCCAGGGAUUAACUCUCGA